GUGGGGAAUAUUGCACAAUGGGCGCAAGCCUGAUGCAGCAACGCCGCGUGAGGGACGACGGCCUUCGGGUUGUAAACCUCUUUUAGCAGGGAAGAAGCGAAAGUGACGGUACCUGCAGAAAAAGCACCGGCUAACUACGUGCCAGCAGCCGCGGUAAUACGUAGGGUGCAAGCGUUGUCCGGAAUUAUUGGGCGUAAAGAGCUCGUAGGCGGUUUGUCGCGUCUGCUGUGAAAACCCGAGGCUCAACCUCGGGCCUGCAGUGGGUACGGGCAGACUAGAGUGCGGUAGGGGAGAUUGGAAUUCCUGGUGUAGCGGUGGAAUGCGCAGAUAUCAGGAGGAACACCGAUGGCGAAGGCAGAUCUCUGGGCCGUAACUGACGCUGAGGAGCGAAAGCGUGGGGAGCGAACAGGAUUAGAAACCCGAGUAGUCC
This 430-nucleotide ribosomal RNA is filed under the name uncultured bacterium. RNAcentral describes it as "bacterial SSU rRNA". It matches the Rfam family "Bacterial small subunit ribosomal RNA", at positions 354 to 796 of the family's 1533-position model. The record is from RNAcentral.